This 465-nucleotide ribosomal RNA is filed under the name uncultured bacterium. Its description in RNAcentral is "partial 16S ribosomal RNA". It matches the Rfam family "Bacterial small subunit ribosomal RNA", at positions 339 to 795 of the family's 1533-position model. The record is from RNAcentral.
CUACGGGUAGCUGCAGUGGGGAAUAUUGGACAAUGGGGGAAACCCUGAUCCAGCAAUGCCGCGUGUGUGAAGAAGGCCUGCGGGUUGUAAAGCACUUUCGGUUGGGAGGACUGCUUCUAGCACUAAUAUUGUUGGAAGUUGACGUUACCUUCGGAAGAAGCACCGGCUAACUCCGUGCCAGCAGCCGCGGUAAUACGGAGGGUGCAAGCGUUAAUCGGAAUUACUGGGCGUAAAGCGCGCGUAGGCGGCUAGAUCAGUCGGGUGUGAAAGCCCCGGGCUUAACCUGGGAACUGCAUCCGAUACUGUCUAGCUUGAGUACAGGAGAGGAGAGUGGAAUUCCACAUGUAGCGGUGAAAUGCGUAGAUAUGUGGAGGAACACCAAUGGCGAAGGCAGCUCUCUGGCCUGAUACUGACGCUGAGGCGCGAAAGCGUGGGGAGCAAACAGGAUUAGAUACCCGCGUAGUC